UAGCUCAGUUGGUAAAGAAUCUGUCUGCAAUACAGGAGACCCGGGUUCGAUUCCUGG
Molecule: transfer RNA, 57 nt
Filed under: Ovis aries (sheep)
Lineage: Eukaryota; Metazoa; Chordata; Mammalia; Artiodactyla; Bovidae
Rfam family: tRNA
About the family: Transfer RNA (tRNA) molecules are approximately 80 nucleotides in length.
Source: Rfam by way of RNAcentral